CAGUAGCCGCGGUAAUACGAAGGGGGCUAGCGUUGCUCGGAAUUACUGGGCGUAAAGGGAGCGUAGGCGGAUCGUUAAGUUGGGGGUGAAAGCCCGGGGCUCAACCUCGGAACUGCCUUCAAUACUGGCGAUCUUGAGUAUGAGAGAGGUGUGUGGAACUCCGAGUGUAGAGGUGAAAUUCGUAGAUAUUCGGAAGAACACCAGUGGCGAAGGCGACACACUGGCUCAUUACUGACGCUGAGGCUCGAAAGCGUGGGGAGCAAACAGGAUUAGAGACCCCCGUAGUCCCUGUCUCUUAUAC
RNAcentral lists this ribosomal RNA (301 nucleotides) under uncultured bacterium. RNAcentral's name for it is "partial 16S ribosomal RNA". It matches the Rfam family "Bacterial small subunit ribosomal RNA", at positions 509 to 807 of the family's 1533-position model. The record is from RNAcentral.